GAUGAAGAACGUAGCGAAAUGCGAUACUUGGUGUGAAUUGCAGAAUCCCGUGAACCAUCGAGUCUUUGAACGCAAGUUGCGCCCGAAGCCAUCAGGUUGAGGGCACGUCUGCCUGGGCGUCACAUAUCGUUGCCCAAUGCCUAUUGCAGUGCAAUAGGAAUUUCUAGGGCGAAUGAUGGCUUCCCGUGAGCGUUGUUGCCUCGCGGUUGGUUGAAAAUCGAGUCCUUGGUAGGGUGUGCCAUGGUAGAUGGUGGUCGAGUUAGAACGAUACCGAUCAUGUGCAUGCUCCCCAAAAUAUGGCCUCUAUGACCCACACGCGUCUUUUGACGCUCAUGACGAGACCUCAGGUCAGGCGGGGCUACCCGCUGAAUUUAAGCAUAUCAAAGCGGAGGA
Molecule: unclassified non-coding RNA, 393 nt
Filed under: soil metagenome
Description: partial contains 5.8S ribosomal RNA, internal transcribed spacer 2, and large subunit ribosomal RNA
Rfam family: 5.8S ribosomal RNA (bases 1-122)
Source: RNAcentral